UAAGGAAUAUUGGUCAAUGGACGCAAGUCUGAACCAGCCAUGCCGCGUGAAGGAUGAAGGUCCUCUGGAUUGUAAACUUCUUUUAUAGGGGGCGAAAAAAGGUUUUUCUAAAUCACUUGACAGUACCCUAUGAAUAAGCACCGGCUAACUCCGUGCCAGCAGCCGCGGUAAUACGGAGGGUGCAAGCGUUAUCCGGAUUCACUGGGUUUAAAGGGUGCGUAGGCGGGUAGGUAAGUCAGAGGUGAAAUCCUGGAGCUUAACUCCAGAACUGCCUUUGAUACUAUCUAUCUUGAAUAUGGUGGAGGUAAGCGGAAUAUGUCAUGUAGCGGUGAAAUGCAUAGAUAUGACAUAGAACACCUAUUGCGAAGGCAGCUUACUACGCCUAUAUUGACGCUGAGGCACGAAAGCGUGGGGAUCAAACA
This 422-nucleotide ribosomal RNA is filed under the name uncultured Sediminibacterium sp. RNAcentral's name for it is "bacterial SSU rRNA". It matches the Rfam family "Bacterial small subunit ribosomal RNA", at positions 355 to 774 of the family's 1533-position model. Lineage: Bacteria; Pseudomonadati; Bacteroidota; Chitinophagia; Chitinophagales; Chitinophagaceae. The record is from RNAcentral.